UGGCGGAUGGUGUAGAGGUAGCACACGGGACUUUGAAUCCCAUAGCCCAGGUUCGAUCCCUGGUCCGCCAGCCA
Molecule: transfer RNA, 74 nt
Filed under: Chloroflexota bacterium
Lineage: Bacteria; Bacillati; Chloroflexota
Also listed under: 2 other names
Description: Chloroflexi bacterium tRNA-Gln
Rfam family: tRNA
About the family: Transfer RNA (tRNA) molecules are approximately 80 nucleotides in length. Their secondary structure includes four short double-helical elements and three loops (D, anti-codon, and T loops). Further hydrogen bonds mediate the characteristic L-shaped molecular structure. tRNAs have two regions of fundamental functional importance: the anti-codon, which is responsible for specific mRNA codon recognition, and the 3' end, to which the tRNAs corresponding amino acid is attached (by aminoacyl-tRNA synthetases). tRNAs cope with the degeneracy of the genetic code in two manners: having more than one tRNA (with a specific anti-codon) for a particular amino acid; and 'wobble' base-pairing, i.e. permitting non-standard base-pairing at the 3rd anti-codon position.
Source: RNAcentral